AGAUUUAUGGAAUAUGUAUUUUAUCCCUGUAGGAUGUUCUCGACUAAAAUGAAGUCUCAACCAAUUUUCAGAGAUGGUUCGGAUGAACUAUGGCUUGGGUUUAAAAUAAUAUGGAGUGUUUGAGGUUUUUUGAGAUUGUAAAAUCAGUGGAAAAUCAUGAGGGUUGGCCGAAUAAUACGUUUGCUCGAGCGGAUAUCUCGCGGGUAGUGAGUGAUCACACGUCCGCUCGAACACUCAUGGCGUGGACGACGAGCGGUGGAAUUAUUGUUAAAACCACUCGAGCGGUCUCUAGGCGUGGUGCGAGCAGUUUUGCAUCAACUUUUUCUCCUUGUUCGGUUUUUGACUCCUUCAAAACACUUCCAACCCCCAACUCUCUGACCUUAAUGACAACUCAAUAAACUCUGAUUUUAAACACGCAACUAACCAAUACAAUUUGGACCCAACAAAAUGUAUUUCAAUAUUUGAGCAGGGGCUGCAAUAUACUAAAGAAAAAUCAGUAGUUGUGACUUGUGACAAUUAAAGUGAAGAGCAUCAUGUGGUGGUACUCUAUCGACGUGUUUCAGAAAGUUAUCUUUUUAAACUUAUACUGCCGUGUGAUUUUAUAAGAGGCAGACAUCAGCUUCCACUCAUAACGUCUUAAUCGCUCUUGCAUUACAUCUAUAAUACACACAUCUAUUUCCAUGGGAUCUACUCGCUUUGUGGUCAUUCCUCGCCAUGUUCUCUGGAUCAGCUGAGUUUUUGUUCUACUCCUGAAGUUCCCGCUACAUUUUUUUAGCAUUGACAUCUAGACCACUGUUGAUUUAUUCGGGUUUUCAAUUUGUUUUAGUCAAUUAAGUUUAGUGAUUUAUAUACGAUAUUUGGCUAGUGAUUGCUGAUUUUCUCAAAGAAAGGGUUGUCAAUUGUUAUGCUUUGUGCUAACUUCCUCUAGGCAUAUAUUGUUGCGCUUGUGAACAAAGUUUACGACCUCUUGGGUUAUUCUAUCACGCCGUCCUAACAGUAGCGCUAUUUUGAGUGAACGGGAUAGGGACAAGUAGUUAUGGUGUGCCAAGCAGCUCGUCAGAUAAGAUUUCGGGCAUGGAAACAUGAGAAUGGAAUUGCUGGGCGUGCCAUCAAUAUAGUAGUUAUAGCAUGCUUUCAACCUAUCCAGGAUUGCCAGGUUACUAUACAAUAUUUGAUUUUGGAGAACAAGAUUCAACCGAAAAAAUGUUAGUUACUUUUGUUUUAUUCUACAAUGCUCAUAAGAAAGCUUAAUAACUUUUUUUGGAUAUAUUUCAGGCUGAAUAUUUCCGCCAAUUGCUUAAACCUGUUAUGUAGAUUGAUUUUCUUUCUGCCACUUUCGAGUUAAGCUUGGCUUUACAGGUUAUGUUUAAAGUGAGAGGUGAGUUUUAUUACUACUGGUGUUUUAAACUGGCAAGACUUCGAUUUCUCUGUUUUUUCAUUUUGAUUCAAGGGUAUUUAACAUUUGAUUUGUCUAAUGAAUCAAUCUCUGCAUAUUGUUAGGUGAUUUUUCCGCUUAAAUGGAAAAGGACUUAGGUCAUCUCCAAACUUGCACCAAAUUUUGUACCAAAUUUUACACCAAA
Molecule: long non-coding RNA, 1580 nt
Filed under: Olea europaea subsp. europaea
Lineage: Eukaryota; Viridiplantae; Streptophyta; Magnoliopsida; Lamiales; Oleaceae
Source: RNAcentral